This is a long non-coding RNA of Ornithorhynchus anatinus (platypus), 439 nucleotides long. RefSeq lists it as uncharacterized. The transcript has 3 exons. Lineage: Eukaryota; Metazoa; Chordata; Mammalia; Monotremata; Ornithorhynchidae. The record is from RefSeq and is a predicted model, not a curated record.
UGGCACCAAGAUUGCAGCUCUACUCUUUGUCCUCUGACAAUAGGAUCUACACCUAGGUUGGGUCCAAAGACCUGUGAAGUGUCUGUUACCCUUCGCAAGCUGCCUUCAUCCCCCAUCCUGGUGACUAUGGGAAUGACCAGGAAAAUCUGGAUCGAGAAGGUAAUUCUGAAGAAGAGAUUCAAAGAAACAAAACUUUCCUUGGAUUUUCGAAGAAAAAGCAGAACAAAUGGGAUUUGGCCACUGGGACAUUUGGAGAGAAACUUGAAGCUGAAAUGGAGCUAAAACCAAAGCAGAAACCCCCGCUAGUCAAACUAUGCCAGUUAAACACUGACAUCUACAGUCAAGUUUGGAGAAACAAACGAUCCACUCACUGCGGCGCAGAUAAAGUAACGCGUGUCUUUCAAUAUAGAAUAUCUUCUAUAAAUUGUCUUUCACUUUA